AAACCCACAAGCUUCUCCCCUUCUUAGAAAUACAGUAUACUCACCUUCUUCUCCAAAAAUCUAUUAGCAAAUCAAGAAGCUUUUACUAGAAAAAUAUAGUAAUCAUCUAGCUCAGACCGUUGCUGCAAUUUUCAGGUCCUCCCAGGGCCAUGUGUCUGUAGUUUCCCAUGGGAAAGGAAGGCCAAAAGAAAAGAUCAAAUUAUCAUCCAAUAUAAACAAUUGAUGGCCUAUGAAAUUUUUUGUUGAUGACCAUGUUCCAUGGAGUUCGUUUUCGUGUACUUGCAGACUUUACUCCUUACUGUGAGGUAUUUCAAGAAGUUGAAAAAGGAAGUCGAGAAAGACCAAGAGCUGGAAUAAGGAUCAAAUGAAGAUCCAUGAGCGCAUAGCAAUUUUCUACUUAAAGGCCACCCUGGUACGACUUGCAUAACAGAGAAUGAGAGAAAUGGAGAAAUAGACACAACAGAAAUAGAGAAUUCAGCCAUUUUCACAGGAAACAACUUAUGAUAAUAGGUUUGGAUCAACCCGCAACAAAUCUCCUCAUAUACCCUCCUUUUCUCCUGAGAGAUGUCUCAUCAAUAAAUUGUUAUAGUUUGAUUUGGAGAUGCUUGCUUCCCCAAAAUAGUGUCUAGGAGGGAGCAAAGGUUUACUAUACUCGAAUGCACAUGUUAUAAAAUUCUUUCUUUUGUUUUGAAUUAUGUUAAAAUUUCUAUUUAGAUAUGGAAUUAUGCAUCACUGAUGCAUUAGUAAACCCAUAGGUAUUCUCUUUUUCAGAAUUUAUUGUUAUUUACAGUUUUUGAAAUUAUGGUUAUUUUCAAGUAGUUAUUGCCAUUGAGGAUUUAAGUUACAUCUGAAUGAAACUGUGCAAGUAGAGGGUAGCCACAUUAAUUAGUAUCACAUUUGUAAAUGUUGGGCCCGUGCGCAGCACGGGUAAUACU
Lycium barbarum (goji berry) is the source of this 935-nucleotide long non-coding RNA. RefSeq lists it as uncharacterized. The transcript is spliced from 4 exons. NCBI's taxonomy places the organism in Eukaryota, Viridiplantae, Streptophyta, Magnoliopsida, Solanales, Solanaceae. The record is from RefSeq and is a predicted model, not a curated record.